Molecule: long non-coding RNA, 258 nt
Filed under: Lathyrus oleraceus (garden pea)
Lineage: Eukaryota; Viridiplantae; Streptophyta; Magnoliopsida; Fabales; Fabaceae
Description: Pisum sativum (pea) long non-coding RNA (PSAT_LNC028490)
Source: RNAcentral
UUCAGACUUGUGCCUACGUACCAACAUAAAAUGAGGGAUCAAAACUUCGUAGUUCUUGGUAAAAAUUUCAAAUAAGUCGGUGAAUUGUUUUUAACAAAAGUUUAAUAAGAAAAGGCACAAAGGGCCAAAAAUUUAAAUGAAGUUGUUAGUUCUUUUUGUCUUUUGAAAUUUUAAGUCAAUAUGGUUAAGUUUAUUUACAAGUUUGAUUUAAGAAAGAGUUUGAAAAUUCAAUGGCAUAAUCCCAAAGUUUCCAAUCAC